UGGGGAAUUUUGGACAAUGGGCGAAAGCCUGAUCCAGCAAUGCCGCGUGUGUGAAGAAGGCCUUCGGGUUGUAAAGCACUUUUGUCCGGAAAGAAAUCCUUGGCUCUAAUACAGUCGGGGGAUGACGGUACCGGAAGAAUAAGCACCGGCUAACUACGUGCCAGCAGCCGCGGUAAUACGUAGGGUGCAAGCGUUAAUCGGAAUUACUGGGCGUAAAGCGUGCGCAGGCGGUUUGCUAAGACCGAUGUGAAAUCCCCGGGGCUCAACCUGGGAACUGCAUUGGUGACUGGCAGGCUAGAGUAUGGCAGAGGGGGGUAGAAUUCCACGUGUAGCAGUGAAAUGCGUAGAGAUGUGGAGGAAUACCGAUGGCGAAGGCAGCCCCCUGGGCCAAUACUGACGCUCAUGCACGAAAAGCGUGGGGGAGCAAAACAGGAUUAGAUACCCCUGGUAGUCCACGCCCUAAAACGAUGUCAACCAGUUGUUGGGGAUUCAUUUCCUUAGUAACGUAGCUAACGCGUGAAGUUGACCGCCUGGGGAGUACGGUCGCAAGAUUAAAACUUAAAUGAAUUGACGGGGUCAUAGCUGUUUCCU
This 591-nucleotide ribosomal RNA is filed under the name uncultured bacterium. RNAcentral's name for it is "partial 16S ribosomal RNA". It matches the Rfam family "Bacterial small subunit ribosomal RNA", at positions 355 to 1375 of the family's 1533-position model. The record is from RNAcentral.